CAAGUCGCACGAGAAAGUGGAGCAAUCCAUGAGUAAAGUGGCGUACGGGUGAGUAACACGUGGGUAAUCUACCUCUUAGUGGGGAAUAACCCUGGGAAACCGGGGCUAAUACCGCAUAAGCUCGAGAGAGGAAAGCAGCAAUGCGCUGAGAGAGGAGCCCGCGGCCGAUUAGCUAGUUGGUAGGGUAAGAGCCUACCAAGGCAGAGAUCGGUAGCCGGCCUGAGAGGGCACACGGCCACACUGGCACUGAAACACGGGCCAGACUCCUACGGGAGGCAGCAGUGGGGAAUCUUGCACAAUGGGGGAAACCCUGAUGCAGCGACGCCGCGUGAGCGAUGAAGCCCUUCGGGGUGUAAAGCUCUUUCGGCAGGGAAGAUGAUGACGGUACCUGCAGAAGCAGCUGCGGCUAACUACGUGCCAGCAGCCGCGGUAAUACGUAGGCAGCGAGCGUUGUUCGGAGUUACUGGGCGUAAAGGGUGUGUAGGCGGUUCUUUAAGUUUGGUGUGAAAUCUCCCGGCUCAACCGGGAGGGUGCGCCGAAUACUGAGGGACUUGGAGUGCGGGAGAGGAAAGUGGAAUUCCUGGUGUAGCGGUGAAAUGCGUAGAUAUCAGGAGGAACACCGGUGGUGUAGACGGCUUUCUGGACCGUAACUGACGCUGAGACACGAAAGCGUGGGUAGCAAACAGGAUUAGAUACCCUGGUAGUCCACGCCCUAAACGAUGCAUAUUUGGUGUGGGUCAUUCA
RNAcentral lists this ribosomal RNA (744 nucleotides) under uncultured Bacillota bacterium. Its description in RNAcentral is "bacterial SSU rRNA". It matches the Rfam family "Bacterial small subunit ribosomal RNA", at positions 58 to 833 of the family's 1533-position model. Lineage: Bacteria; Bacillati; Bacillota. The record is from RNAcentral.